AUGCUUAACUGCAAGCCCGCCGCCACGCCUGUUGAUACGAAGGCCAAGCUCUCCGCCACAGAUGGUUCCCCUGCUUCGGAUGCUGCUUUCUAUCGGUCUAUUGUUGGUGCUCUCCAGUACCUCACUUUGACUCGGCCAGAGAUCCAGUAUGCAGUACAGCAGGUGUGUCUUCAUAUGCAUGCUUCUCGGGAUGUUCACUGGGCCGCUGUCAAGCGGAUUCUCCGCUAUGUUUGUGGCACUAUGGAUCUUGGAGUCACGCUUCACGCAUCCGCCGACACCGCCCUCACAGCCUACUCCGAUGCAGACUGGGCGGGCUGCCCUGACACACGUCGCUCCACCUCGGGCUAUUGUGUCUACCUUGGACCCUCCCUUAUCUCGUGGUCGUCCAAGCGGCAGCCUACGGUCUCUCGCUCCAGUGCUGAGGCUGAGUAUCGUGCGGUGGCCAACGCCGUUGCUGAGUGUUCCUGGCUUCGUCAGCUGCUUCAGGAGCUGUCUUGCCUUGUUGACCGUGCCACGGUGGUCUACUGCGACAACGUCUCGGCGGUCUACCUCUCCGCUAACCCGGUGCAUCAUCGACGGACCAAGCAUAUUGAGUUGGAUAUUCAUUUUGUUCGGGAACAGGUGGCUCUUGGCCAUAUUCGUGUUUUACACGUUCCUACUUCCCAACAAUUUGCAGAUAUCAUGACCAAGGGCUUGCCUACGGCGUCAUUUGAGGAGUUCCGGUCCAGUCUUUGCGUCAGCCGCGGUGCCGCUUCGACUGCGGGGGGGGGGGGUGUUGAGUAG
RNAcentral lists this ribosomal RNA (783 nucleotides) under Triticum aestivum (bread wheat). RNAcentral's name for it is "partial small subunit ribosomal RNA". Lineage: Eukaryota; Viridiplantae; Streptophyta; Magnoliopsida; Poales; Poaceae. The record is from RNAcentral.